AGAUUGGAUUUUUUUAAACAAAAGAUAGACCAAAAACUUACAAUGAUAAUGUGUUGAGAAUGAAUCCAACAUUGAUGAGAGGAGGGACCUUACAUGUUCUUAUAAGAGGUUGGACUACUCUUCAUAUUUGCAGUUGAUUUUUCGGUAGAACCGCAACUUUCUAUUAGAGCAGGUUGUCCCACAUAUGAUGCCAAAUGGCCACACACACUCCACGUUACCUCCCUUAUUUGUGUUGUCCACGUAUUAGGCUAAAAAAAUUUCCACACAUGAGAUGACGUAUUGAGAAUGAAUCUCACACUGAUAGGAGGAAGAACCUUACAUGUGCUUAUAAAAAGUUAAACUACUACGUACCCAUAUUAUCAAUUAAUUUUAUAUUGUAAUCUCAACUUUUUCUUUCAAAAUACCCUUGAGAUCCCUAAGUGCCUCAUAUCAAACUUAAUUUUACAAGCCACAACAAAAAGAAAAUGAGAAAAUCCGAAAAAAAAAAAAAAAACAUUUUGGCUUCACAUGACCAAGCGUGGCUAAUUCAUCCGCUACCAUACUGGCUUGACGAUAGACAUGUUGAAGAUGACCACAUGCAGAGUAGAUUGGAUUGUACCAUAUGCAUGAACUUAGACAUUUUCCCUUUUUACGAAAAGCUCAAGCAUUAUACAAAACAAAAUUGUAAUUCUUUUGUAGUUUUUGCUGAGUUGUAAAGCACACGUUGCUGAGAAAGACAUGAUCAGAUUUGUUUGGUGCAUGCGUGUUUAACAAUUUUACGGGUGUUAUAUGUAUUUCAUGUGAUUUCUACAAUGCUUCAUGAUCGCGUGCAUUCUGUUGAAUAUAUCAAUCCCAACUCAUCACUGCCAGCUCAUCAACACAGUUGUAAAGGAUUAGAUUAUGUAAUAGUUAGUUAAAAAGUUAGUUAGAAUUUAUUACUCAAAGUUUAUGAACUAGUCUUUUAAUCGGCUAUAAAUAGUUAUUGUAAACAAAUAGUAAAAUUAGUUUAUUGAGUUUAAUACAAAACCUUCAUUCUUUUUCUUUUCUCACAUUUCUCUUCUCCCUGUAAAACUUCAUUUCUUGGUUUUAUAAUUGUUCAUCUCUGCUACUUCUCCAAUGUAGUUCAUAUGGUAUCAGAGCCACUAAGCUCACGCCAUGGAUUCUGGUGGUUCCGUUUUUCAUUAGAUUUCAUUGUCUUCUAGUUUUAUUUCUCUUCCGUUAAGUUCUUCAAUGCUUCUGUAAUUGUUCAGUAAUUACUGGGUAAAUUUCCCUUCUGUAUUUUGCGUAAAGAUUGUUGGUGAUAUAUGGGUCUUUGAAAUUGUGGUGUAAUCUGAAUGCAAUUGGCUAGUGGGUUCUGUUAAUUUCUUCUGUGCUUCUGCAAUCGUCAAACAGAAGUGGGAAUUUUCGGUUCUUGAAUUCGAUUUUUUUUUUUUAAAAAAGAUUUUCAUCGAGUUCUUCACCUCCUGAUUCUAGGGAAAAAAAUGGGUUUUCAAGCAAAUUCUUGGAUCCAGUGGAAUACCCUCACCUUGGAGGCGCUCGUGAUGGUGGUCUACAAUUUGGGUUUUGCUUUGGAAAUGGGUUUUCCUCCGGACAUGGUGCGGUGUUAGGAAUAACACUCGGUCAUCAAUUUAUGUGUGGAAGAAAGUUUAGAACUUUAUGCAGUCCAAGUGUUUGACGAAAUGCUCAGCCCAAGAUUUUUUGUGAAGGUUAUGUUUUCAAUCCUGUUAUAUGAGAUUGAGGGGGGAUGUUGAAUAUAUUACUACUAACUCAUCACUGCCAGCUCAUCAAAACAGUUGUAAGGGAUUGGAUUAUGUAAUAGUUAGUUGAAAGAGUUAGUUAGAGUUUGUUACUCAAAGCUUAUGAGCUAGUCGUCUGGUCAGCUAUAUAUAGCUAUUGUAAACAUAUAGUAAAAUCAGUCAUUGAAUUCAAUACAAAACCUUCAUUCAUUUUUUUCUCA
Long non-coding RNA from Pyrus x bretschneideri (Chinese white pear), 1936 nucleotides. RefSeq lists it as uncharacterized. The record is from RefSeq and is a predicted model, not a curated record. The transcript is spliced from 2 exons. Lineage: Eukaryota; Viridiplantae; Streptophyta; Magnoliopsida; Rosales; Rosaceae.